RNAcentral lists this ribosomal RNA (253 nucleotides) under uncultured bacterium. Its description in RNAcentral is "partial 16S ribosomal RNA". It matches the Rfam family "Bacterial small subunit ribosomal RNA", at positions 524 to 776 of the family's 1533-position model. The record is from RNAcentral.
UACGGGGGGAGCAAGCGUUGUUCGGAUUUACUGGGCGUAAAGGGCGCGUAGGCGGCCUUCUAAGUCGAACGUGAAAUCCCCGGGCUCAACCCGGGAACUGCGUCCGAUACUGGAAGGCUUGAAUCCGGGAGAGGGAUGCGGAAUUCCAGGUGUAGCGGUGAAAUGCGCAGAUAUCGGGAGGAACACCAAUGGCGAAGGCAGCUCGCUGGGACGGUACUGACGCUGAGACGCGAAAGCGUGGGGAGCAAACAGG